RNAcentral lists this transfer RNA (63 nucleotides) under Balta hwangorum. RNAcentral describes it as "tRNA-His". The record is from RNAcentral. Lineage: Eukaryota; Metazoa; Arthropoda; Insecta; Blattodea; Pseudophyllodromiidae.
ACUUAAAUAGUUUAAUUAAAAAUUUUAGUUUGUGGUACUAAAGAUGUGACUGUACUUUAGGUU